Molecule: transfer RNA, 70 nt
Filed under: Geronticus eremita (northern bald ibis)
Lineage: Eukaryota; Metazoa; Chordata; Aves; Pelecaniformes; Threskiornithidae
Description: tRNA-Glu
Source: RNAcentral
GUUCUUGUAGUUAAAAAUUUUAACUAGCUUGUUCAAGCCGCAGAUUUUGGAGAGAGGCCAAGCGAGAACU